This 387-nucleotide ribosomal RNA is filed under the name Escherichia coli. RNAcentral describes it as "partial 23S ribosomal RNA". It matches the Rfam family "Bacterial large subunit ribosomal RNA", at positions 1291 to 1680 of the family's 2925-position model. The record is from RNAcentral. Lineage: Bacteria; Pseudomonadati; Pseudomonadota; Gammaproteobacteria; Enterobacterales; Enterobacteriaceae.
CGAAUGCUGACAUAAGUAACGAUAAAGCGGGUGAAAAGCCCGCUCGCCGGAAGACCAAGGGUUCCUGUCCAACGUUAAUCGGGGCAGGGUGAGUCGACCCCUAAGGCGAGGCCGAAAGGCGUAGUCGAUGGGAAACAGGUUAAUAUUCCUGUACUUGGUGUUACUGCGAAGGGGGGACGGAGAAGGCUAUGUUGGCCGGGCGACGGUUGUCCCGGUUUAAGCGUGUAGGCUGGUUUUCCAGGCAAAUCCGGAAAAUCAAGGCUGAGGCGUGAUGACGAGGCACUACGGUGCUGAAGCAACAAAUGCCCUGCUUCCAGGAAAAGCCUCUAAGCAUCAGGUAACAUCAAAUCGUACCCCAAACCGACACAGGUGGUCAGGUAGAGAAUA